AUUGAACGCUGGCGGCAUGCCUUACACAUGCAAGUCGAACGGCAGCGGGGGAGAAGCUUGCUUUUCCUGCCGGCGAGUGGCGAACGGGUGAGUAAUACAUUGGAACGUGCCCUGUAGUGGGGGAUAACUAGUCGAAAGAUUAGCUAAUACCGCAUACGACCUGAGGGUGAAAGUGGGGGACCGCAAGGCCCCAUGCUAUAGGAGCGGCCGAUGUCUGAUUAGCUAGUUGGUGGGGUAAAGGCCUACCAAGGCGACGAUCAGUAGCUGGUCUGAGAGGACGAUCAGCCACACUGGGACUGAGACACGGCCCAGACUCCUACGGGAGGCAGCAGUGGGGAAUUUUGGACAAUGGGCGAAAGCCUGAUCCAGCAAUGCCGCGUGUGUGAAGAAGGCCUUCGGGUUGUAAAGCACUUUUGUCCGGAAAGAGAUGGCUCUGGUUAGUACCUGGGGUCGAUGACGGUACCGGAAGAAUAAGGACCGGCUAACUACGUGCCAGCCGCCGCCGUAA
This 508-nucleotide ribosomal RNA is filed under the name uncultured bacterium. RNAcentral describes it as "partial 16S ribosomal RNA". It matches the Rfam family "Bacterial small subunit ribosomal RNA", at positions 30 to 523 of the family's 1533-position model. The record is from RNAcentral.